CAUGCAAGUUGAACGAAGCGCUUAAAUGGAUUUCUUCGGAUUGAAGUUUUUGUGACUGAGUGGCGGACGGGUGAGUAACGCGUGGGUAACCUGCCUCAUACAGGGGGAUAACAGUUAGAAAUGACUGCUAAUACCGCAUAAGCGCACAGUGCUGCAUGGCACAGUGUGAAAAACUCCGGUGGUAUGAGAUGGACCCGCGUCUGAUUAGCUAGUUGGUGGGGUAACGGCCUACCAAGGCGACGAUCAGUAGCCGGCCUGAGAGGGUGAACGGCCACAUUGGGACUGAGACACGGCCCAAACUCCUACGGGAGGCAGCAGUGGGGAAUAUUGCACAAUGGGGGAAACCCUGAUGCAGCGACGCCGCGUGAGCGAAGAAGUAUUUCGGUAUGUAAAGCUCUAUCAGCAGGGAAGAAAAUGACGGUACCUGACUAAGAAGCACCGGCUAAAUACGUGCCAGCAGCCGCGGUAAUACGUAUGGUGCAAGCGUUAUCCGGAUUUACUGGGUGUAAAGGGAGCGUAGACGGUUGUGUAAGUCUGAUGUGAAAGCCCGGGGCUCAACCCCGGGACUGCAUUGGAAACUAUGUAACUAGAGUGUCGGAGAGGUAAGCGGA
RNAcentral lists this ribosomal RNA (611 nucleotides) under uncultured bacterium. RNAcentral describes it as "bacterial SSU rRNA". It matches the Rfam family "Bacterial small subunit ribosomal RNA", at positions 54 to 665 of the family's 1533-position model. The record is from RNAcentral.